CCCUUAGAUGUCCUGGGCAGCACGCGUGCUACAAUGAUGCAUUCAACGAGUCUUGCCUUAACCGAAAGGUUCGGGUAAACUUUUGAAAUUGCAUCUUGUCGGGGCUUGAUCAUUGUAAUUUUUGAUCACAAACAAGGAAUUCCUUGUAAAUGUGAGUCAUCAACUUGCAUUGAUUACGUCCCUGCCCUUUGUACACACCGCCCGUCGCUCCUACCGAUUGAAUGUUCCGGUGAGCUCUUCGGACUGCGCGGUCUGCAGUUUCUGCGUUCCGUGCGGAAAGUUGCGCAAACCUUAACAUUUAGAGGAAGGAGAAGUCGUAACA
This 322-nucleotide ribosomal RNA is filed under the name uncultured eukaryote. Its description in RNAcentral is "partial 18S ribosomal RNA". It matches the Rfam family "Eukaryotic small subunit ribosomal RNA", at positions 1470 to 1796 of the family's 1831-position model. The record is from RNAcentral.